GGCCUUCCGGGUAACGUACUGAGGACAGGUGCUGCAUGGCUGUCGUCAGCUCGUGUUGUGAAAUGUUGGGUUAAGUCCCGCAACGAGCGCAACCCUUUAUCCUUUGUUGCCAGCGAUUCGGUCGGGAACUCAAAGGAGACUGCCAGUGAUAAACUGGAGGAAGGUGGGGAUGACGUCAAGUCAUCAUGGCCCUUACGAGUAGGGCUACACACGUGCUACAAUGGCGCAUACAAAGAGAAGCGACCUCGCGAGAGCAAGCGGACCUCAUAAAGUGCGUCGUAGUCCGGAUUGGAGUCUGCAACUCGACUCCAUGAAGUCGGAAUCGCUAGUAAUCGUAGAUCAGAAUGCUACGGUGAAUACGUUCCCGGGCCUUGUACACACCGCCCGUCACACCAUGGGAGUGGGUUGCAAAAGAAGUAGGUAGCUUAACUUUCGGGAGGGCGCUUACCACUUUGUGAUUCAUGACUGGGGUGAAGUCGUAACAAGGUAAGCGUAGUGCU
Molecule: ribosomal RNA, 500 nt
Filed under: uncultured bacterium
Lineage: Bacteria
Description: bacterial SSU rRNA
Rfam family: Bacterial small subunit ribosomal RNA
Source: RNAcentral